AGUGAACGCUGGCGGUAGGCCUAACACAUGCAAGUCGAACGGCAGCACAGUAAGAGCUUGCUCUUACGGGUGGCGAGUGGCGGACGGGUGAGGAAUACAUCGGAAUCUACUUUUUCGUGGGGGAUAACGUAGGGAAACUUACGCUAAUACCGCAUACGACCUACGGGUGAAAGCAGGGGAUCUUCGGACCUUGCGCGAUUGACUGAGCCGAUGUCGGAUUAGCUAGUUGGCGGGGUAAAGGCCCACCAAGGCGACGAUCCGUAGCUGGUCUGAGAGGGUGAUCAGCCACACUGGAACUGAGACACGGCACAGACUCCUACGGGAGGCAGCAGUGGGGAAUAUUGGACAAUGGGCGCGAGCCUGAUCCAGCCAUACCGCGUGAGUGAAGAAGGCCUUCGGGUUGUAAAGCCCUUUUGUUGGGAAAGAAAAGCAGCAGGUUAAUACCCCGCUGUUCUGACGGUACCCAAAGAAUAAGCACCGGCUAACUUCGUG
RNAcentral lists this ribosomal RNA (492 nucleotides) under uncultured bacterium. RNAcentral describes it as "partial 16S ribosomal RNA". It matches the Rfam family "Bacterial small subunit ribosomal RNA", at positions 29 to 507 of the family's 1533-position model. The record is from RNAcentral.